This 347-nucleotide ribosomal RNA is filed under the name uncultured fungus. RNAcentral's name for it is "SSU rRNA". It matches the Rfam family "Eukaryotic small subunit ribosomal RNA", at positions 20 to 370 of the family's 1831-position model. The record is from RNAcentral. Lineage: Eukaryota; Fungi.
GUAGUCAUAUGCUUGUCUCAAAGAUUAAGCCAUGCACGUCUAAGUAUAAGCAAUUUAUACCGUGAAACUGCGAACGGCUCAUUAAAUCAGUUAUCGUUUAUUUGAUAGUACCUUACUACUUGGAUAACCGUGGUAAUUCUAGAGCUAAUACAUGCUAAAAACCCCGACUUCGGAAGGGGUGUAUUUAUUAGAUAAAAAACCAAUGCCCUUCGGGGCUCCUUGGUGAUUCAUAAUAACUUAACGAAUCGCAUGGCCUUGCGCCGGCGAUGGUUCAUUCAAAUUUCUGCCCUAUCAACUUUCGAUGGUAGGAUAGUGGCCUACCAUGGUUUCAACGGGUAACGGGGAAU